AGAAGGACUAGAUCACCUACUUGGUAAC
RNAcentral lists this non-coding RNA (28 nucleotides) under Bombyx mori (domestic silkworm). Lineage: Eukaryota; Metazoa; Arthropoda; Insecta; Lepidoptera; Bombycidae. The record is from RNAcentral.